CGUUGGCGGCGUGGAUUAGGUAUGCAAGUCGUACGCUCCGCAAGGGGCGUGGCGCAAGGGUGAGUAAGGCGACGGCAACCAACCCCGCGGCCGGGCAUAGCCCAGGGAAACCUGGGGUAAUUCCCGGCGCCGUCACGGGAGGGCAUCUUCCUGUGACGAAAGGUGUGACUCCGCCGCGGUGACGGGCCGUCGUGGUAUCAGGUUGUUGGCGGGGUAACGGCCCACCAAGCCUGGGACGCCUACCGGGCGUGCGAGCGUGGCCCGGCACACUGGGACUGAGACACUGCCCAGACUCCUGCGGAGAGGCUGCAGUCGAGAAUCUUCGGCAAUGGGCGCAAGCCUGACCGAGCGACGCCGCGUGGAGGACGAAGGCCUUCGGGUUGUAAACUCCUGUCGAGGGGGAGGAAGGCUCCGUGCAGAGCGGCGCUUGACCGAUCCCUGGAGGAAGCACGGGCUAAGUUCGUGCCAGCAGCCGCGGUAAGACGAACCGUGUGAACGUUAUUCGGAAUCACUGGGCUUAAAGCGCGUGUAGGCGGGCCGGCACGUCGAUGGCUGAAAGCCCCCGGCUCAACCGGGGAAGGGGCCUCGAUACGACCGGCCUGGAGGGGGGUAGGGGGAGCCGGAACUUCCGGUGGAGCGGUGAAUGCGUUUGAGAUCGGAAGGAAC
This 666-nucleotide ribosomal RNA is filed under the name uncultured Singulisphaera sp. Its description in RNAcentral is "bacterial SSU rRNA". It matches the Rfam family "Bacterial small subunit ribosomal RNA", at positions 34 to 707 of the family's 1533-position model. The record is from RNAcentral. Lineage: Bacteria; Pseudomonadati; Planctomycetota; Planctomycetia; Isosphaerales; Isosphaeraceae.